GAUGAACGCUGGCGGCGUGCCUAAUACAUGCAAGUCGAGCGAACAGACGAGGAGCUUGCUCCUCUGACGUUAGCGGCGGACGGGUGAGUAACACGUGGAUAACCUACCUAUAAGACUGGGAUAACUUCGGGAAACCGGAGCUAAUACCGGAUAAUAUAUUGAACCGCAUGGUUCAAUAGUGAAAGACGGUUUUGCUGUCACUUAUAGAUGGAUCCGCGCCGCACUAGCUAGUUGGUAAGGUAACGGCUUACCAAGGCAACGAUGCGUAGCCGACCUGAGAGGGUGAUCGGCCACACUGGAACUGAGACACGGUCCAGACUCCUACGGGAGGCAGCAGUAGGGAAUCUUCCGCAAUGGGCGAAAGCUUGACGGAGCAACGCCGCGUGAGUGAUGAAGGUCUUCGGAUCGUAAAACUCUGUUAUUAGGGAAGAACAAAUGUGUAAGUAACUAUGCACGUCUUGACGGUACCUAAUCAGAAAGCCACGGCUAACUACGUG
Molecule: ribosomal RNA, 497 nt
Filed under: uncultured bacterium
Lineage: Bacteria
Description: partial 16S ribosomal RNA
Rfam family: Bacterial small subunit ribosomal RNA
Source: RNAcentral